RNAcentral lists this ribosomal RNA (253 nucleotides) under uncultured bacterium. RNAcentral describes it as "partial 16S ribosomal RNA". It matches the Rfam family "Bacterial small subunit ribosomal RNA", at positions 524 to 776 of the family's 1533-position model. The record is from RNAcentral.
UACGUAGGGGGCGAGCGUUGUCCGGAGUUACUGGGCGUAAAGCGCACGCAGGCGGUCUGCUAAGUUUGGAGUGACAGUUGGUGGCUUAACUGCCAAAGUGCUUCGAAAACUGACAGACUUGAGGGCUUCAGAGGGACACGGAAUUCCGGGUAGAGUGGUGAAAUGCGUAGAGAUCCGGAGGAACACCAAAGGCGAAGGCAGUGUCCUGGGGAGUACCUGACGCUCAGGUGCGAAAGCCAGGGGAGCGAACGGG